GGCCUUAGCGCGGUGGUCCCACCUGACCCCAUGCCGAACUCAGAAGUGAAACGCCGUAGCGCCGAUGGUAGUGUGGGGUUUCCCCAUGCGAGAGUAGGGAACUGCUAGGC
RNAcentral lists this ribosomal RNA (110 nucleotides) under Escherichia coli. The record is from RNAcentral. Lineage: Bacteria; Pseudomonadati; Pseudomonadota; Gammaproteobacteria; Enterobacterales; Enterobacteriaceae.